RNAcentral lists this small RNA (4030 nucleotides) under Rattus norvegicus (Norway rat). RNAcentral's name for it is "uncharacterized LOC102553702". The record is from RNAcentral. Lineage: Eukaryota; Metazoa; Chordata; Mammalia; Rodentia; Muridae.
CUGACUUUUCAAAGAACACUUAAGUCUCCUCUUCAGUGUCCUCUAGAGUCAUAGAGCUUAUGGAAUGAAUAAGAUAGACAGACAGACAGACGGGCAGACAGACAGACAGACAGACAGACAGACAGACAGAAGGGGCUAUAGUCCAACUAAUUCAACAAUGGCCAGCCAUGAACGGGAAAUAAAUUAUCUUGUUCUUAUGUUGUCAAGUAAUACCUCUACGACACAGAUUCUCCAGGUAGGGCUGACAUGGCUUAGCAGGCAAGAGCAAAGGACCCAGAUUCAGCUUCCAGCACCCACACAGCAGCUCGCAACCAUCUAUAACUCUAAUUCUUUGGGAUUCAACACCGUCUUCUGGCCUUGGCAAGUUAUGCACAAGCAUACGUUCAGACAAAAACAUCCAUACACAUAAAAUAAAAGUAAGAAGAAAAACCUUUAAGAUUCUACAGACACUCAAACUGGUUGACUAGUACUUCCUGAUUGUGGGGAGUUGGAAUGUUGUAGAUCCUCAGCCAGUAUUACCUUUAGUCCCCCUCAGCACCAUUUAUCAUCUACCCUAGUAUCUGCUUUAAUAUCCAUCCACUUGACUGUUAGCUAUAAGUAUAUAAAGAUGGACACUCACUGGGAUUUCUAGAUUCUUAUGUCCCUGAACAAAUGUGAGGACAGAGAUGUAGAUGGCAACAUGGGCAUGAGAUGACAAAGAGAGUUUAUUGACAUUCAUUGGAAAAGAGAAAAGCCAAAUCCCAGAGAGAGAGAUGACACCAUUAAGAGGAAGCAGGACCAUGAAAGUCAAGAAAAUACUUUAUCUUAUGGGCCAUUUGCUCAAAGAUUCAUAUCUAGAUAGGCAGGUAUCUCACUAUCUCAUUAAGUAGUAAAUAGUAUACUACAUGUCUUUUUGACACUAGCCAUGUAGUCAGGGUGCCACAGGUCCUCGGUAGCUAUGCUCCAGAUGCUUGUAUACAGUAAGUCAUGACCUAGUUGAUAAAGUGUGGAAAUUUUGUUUUCAUUCCUGAUCUGUCUCUACAAAAACAUUCCACUAGUCAAGACAAGUCAUGUGGCAAAGCCAGCAUCAAUGGAUCAGGAAUACACCAUCUCUCAUAAUGUCAACAAGGCCACAUGACAGAAUAUUGGAGAUAUAACAUAAUUGGUAGCCAAUCAGGACACGGGGAGGAAAUCAGGACCAGCCAAGCUAACCAGAUGUAGCACUUCACAGCUUGAAUGUGUCACUCAAGCCUGUUGAUUCUGCUCACAUGACGUGUCAGAAUCCCAGACAGUACGUAAGUCUAAUUUUUACUAAUCCCAGACUAUGGCUCCAUUUCCACAAAAUGGACAGGUCAUUUCUGUCUAGAAAGGUCUAGAAAUAUAAAGAAAUCAAAACCCCCUAUUUUAUCUGACCUCUUCCUCAGAGGCAGAAUAUCUUUACUCUAGUCAUUUCCUGUUGCCUCCCUUAGAAAAACAAUUGCUAUUGGUUAUUGUGACAAGUGUUUUAAAAAUUGAAUUGUGUUCAUCUGGUUUAAGAUUUGACUAAUGAGUUUGGAAUCUCACUUUGAGCUAACAUUGUCCAGGCACUUUAAAAAGUCACCUAGAUAACAGAUUGCCUAACAUAAAGAGCUGUGUUUGGUUUCAAGGUAAUUCUAGUUCAUCUGGUGGUUUAUUAGCUGUGAUCAAAUCUGGCUGAAAGUGUCCAGAAGGACAGAGAAAGGGCGGAAAAUCAAAGACCUCACCUUGCCUACAUCUACACAGCCAAGACUGCCACAAAACAAGAGACAGAGUCUGCAUUAAAGCAGACACAAGAUAUAGACAUAAGUUGCCUGUUCUGCACCCAUGGAACUUCCUGGACGUCCAUUCGCUUUCUGACCUUUCCUGCCCAUGCUUCAGACGGAGCAACCCAUUCUUCAUGGCCUUCCAGGCUGUCACGUCUGUUGUUCGCCGUCCGUGGACACCAAAGUGGAGAGCUGGCUCUCCUUGAAACAGCUUGAGAAAAAUUCCAAUGUGGCUCCCGGUUCUGACCUCCCGAGGACUUUCGGACAGAGCAAAUACAUCUCUGCAAAGUCAGAUGUUUAAGGCGAAGGCUAAAACGAAGUCCGAGCUUUUACUUUAGACUUUGCCCGUCAGCCUGCCGUCUUCCCAGGCUUACUUCCCGCCUCCCCUCUGUCUUAACCAGAUCACACCAGGCUCUCUCGGUUCCUGCUGCUUUCCCGAAUCCUCAUCCCUGAAGUCUCAGCGCACCUGUCCUGUCACCUCCAUGAAACUCCUGCAUCACCCUGUUUGGACGUAAUCUGAGCUCGCUGGGCUCUUCCUACCUCACGGGGCUUUUCUUCUGCUCUUGUGAUGGUCCGUGUGUGAAGCAAGACCCAUACGAAAAGGAUCCUGUGUAGGAGGCUUGGCCGUGGUUGAGGGCGCCGUUGAAGAUGAUUGAAUGUUAAGUGUGUUAACCUCUCCUGGCUUUUAGAUGAGGCCUAUAGGUUGCCGGGAGCAUCAAUUUGGAAGAGAUCUCUGGCUUCUGUGACACCAUCAAUAUUGGAUCCUCACCGGGCCUCCUCCCAGUUAUCCUGUGUUGGCCUGUGUCAUAGAGAUCUGGCAGCUUUGGAUCAGCAGUCCUGGCCUUUGCAUGUGUCCCAACCAUCCAUAGAUAACGGAUUUUUGGGUGAGUCAACUCAGAGCUUUGGAUCUGGGCCUGGGUGGUAGCUAAGCUGGUCAGAGCCCCCACUCUCCCUUAUCAGCACCACCAGGGCGAGUUCUCCAGCACUGUCCCAGCUAGGACACCCAGUACCACCCAUGCAGGGUCAGCUCUCACGCCCUCCAGGCCAACUCACCUGCACCCCUGCCUCCAGAGUCGGCUUCGCUGUGCUGCCCAGUCAAGGUGUGAGGCCCACUCUCCCUAGUGCUUCACCCAGUGAGAGAAAGAGCCAACUCACCCUUCCUCAUGAUCCCAGCCCAUGCCACCUCAUGGCAGACGAGGGCCAGCUCUCCUUCACUUUUUCCCAGCUCACCUGAGCCACCUCCACUAGGGUGAGCUCUACUGUGCUGCACAGGUGAGGUGUAGGGCCAGCUCACCCACUCUCAUGACCCCAGGGUCAGCUCUCCUAUACUCAUGGGGAGGGGUAUUGACUCACACCUCCAUCACCAGGGUCAGCUGUGUUGUCUGGGUGAGGUGCAGGGCCCAGUGCCACCUGUGACAGGUAGGCCCAACUCUCCAGAGCACAACAGCCAGUGAGAAGCAGGGCCAGCUCUGCAUGGGUCCACCUGGACGUCCACCUGGGCCACAGCAGCUGCCCCAACCGGGGAUGUCCCUAUGUUCCCUAGUGGUAAUAUGAACCACGGACAUCAACACCAACUUCUGCUUCUGUGUAGCCCCAGACCCAGACAUGGCCCUCAGUGGCAACUCAGGCUGGGGCCUCAUCAUGACCCCAGGUGGUAGGACUGGCCACUUACAACGGGCUGCUCCUCUCUCCCCUCGAGUCUCCAUUUUCCUUCCUCUUCCACCUGUCCACCACAUAUUGCACAUUGUGGUGGCUCCCACUGCAGGCUGACCACAAAGCUGACUCCCUGUGGUGAGCCCCCGGGUGACAUCCUCUGGCAAGCAGGUAUCUACAGCUCUCUGUGCCAUGUACUGGAGGGUAGGUCUGUGGGUGGCAUGGCCGUCAGCAGGUCUCUGUCUGUCUUCCUCCUCCCAUGCUGCACUGCCUGGAUUUGACUUGAUAUUUUUUAUAUGUCCUAGGCAUAAAACAGCUUUGGCCACCUUCCUUGAAAUCAAACUAUACUAAACAAAGAACUGCCAUCCACUCUGCCCCUAACAACACUACUGACAAGUGUUCUGCCUCGCUCCGGUCCCACCACGAUGGAGUCAGCCUUCAAUAAACAAAAACCUUCAAGUCAUGGGCCCAAAUACAUCUCUCCCCCACCCCACGACGGCAUCCAUCUCAGAUGCUUUCAGGAGUGAUGUAAAGUGACCAACUCGCUGUCUUAUUCUACAGGCUCUCAUAAAACCCGUCUCCCGGACCGACAAUAAAUUAUCUGUAGUAAGACCUCG